Molecule: non-coding RNA, 739 nt
Filed under: Dicerca corrugata
Lineage: Eukaryota; Metazoa; Arthropoda; Insecta; Coleoptera; Buprestidae
Source: RNAcentral
GUACAUGUAAAUUUUAGUAUGCUAUUGUCUUGAUUUUAAUAGUCAAUGGGUUUUUAUUCGCAGUACUUGGUUUUAAAUAUUUAUUAAUAUAAGAUUUAGUAAUAGAUAAUAACUUUGACCAAACUUGUGCCAGCAGUUGCGGUUAGACAAGUAAAGUAUUUAAAAUUUUUCGGUAAGUAGUUAAGAUGUUUAAUGUAAAGGAUAAAAUUAAGGUAUUUAGGUGAAAUUAAAACUUUAAAGAUUUCUUUUAAUUUAUUAUUUGAGGCUGACGAAAUUUUUAUUUAGACUAGGAUUAGAUACCCUAUUAUUUUAAACGUAAAAUUUUUGUACCCGGUUAUUAUUAGUUAUGAUCUUGAAAACAAAAGAUUUUGGCGGUAUUUUAGUCUUUUCAGAGGAACCUGUCCUGUAAUUGAUAGUCCACGUUGAGUUCUGCUUUUUUUAUAAGUUUGUAUAUCGUUGUAGUCGAGUGUUUUAUAAGAAUUUAAAUGCUCAAAAUUUUUUAUUAGAAAAAAAAUCAAAUCAAGAUGCAGCUGAUAAAAAAGAAGAGAUGGGUUACAAUAAAUUUAUUUAAGACAGUAUGAGAAGAUAAUUCUUUUUAUUAAGGUGGAUUUGAUGGUAAUUUUAAUUAUUUAAUUAAAGUGAUUUAGCUCUAAAAUAUGUACAUAUCGCCCGUCGCUUUCACUUAAAGUGAAAUAAGUCGUAACAUAGUAGGCUUACUGGAAAGUGUGUCUGGAAAGGA